CCUUAGGUGGCAGGUCAAAGAAACCUCUCAGGUCACCUGUAAUUGUUGUAGUUAAUGCUGAAGGCUUUCUUUCCUUUGGCAGGCAAAGGAAGAGACAGCAGAAUAUUGAAACAGCUCCCCGGACAUGCCAGGGUCUAGGAGGCACUGCAGACUGUGUGCAGAGGCAGCUGAUUCACCGCUUGUGUUGUUAGGAUGGUGAACUUGAACAGUUUCAUAGGCAACGGAGAACCCCAGGACACAGACGUGAUUUCUGACAUUCCAGAGGGAGGGAAGAACGGCUGGCAUCUGCACAGUUCCAAGGACACCCUGCCCUGUUGCUCUUUCCGACUUCCUGGUGCACACUCCAUGGCUGAGCUUAACUUCAGCCACUUUUAAGGGUUGCAUGAAGCAGAGCAGCAUGGAACAAUUGCUUCCACUUUAAUUUCCGAUGCUUACGAAGGCUGAGCUGAAGGCUGCACCACCAGAAGCUUGGAACCAGUGGAGAAUUUCAGCUCCUGUGAAUAUCGGACUUAGCCUAGUAGCUGUGCGGUGGCACUGUUGAACACCAGCUUGCACAGCCCUGUGGAGGGGAGGAAGUUCCUCUUCUGUAUUGCUGUUCCUGCAGUGAUGUUCCACACGCAGGCUCCAGAGUCCGGUCCCUUGGUUCAUGUUUGGAUAUCAUUUCCCCAAAUGAAACCCCAAGCAGCGUCCACCAGCUUUCGGGUGCUGCGCCUGAAUCACCCACCACCAAGACGCCCGUGUUUUUCCUGCGUGGAGCUGGGACAACUGGCAAAACCCGACAAAGAUGGAGAGAUGAGAUGGUCGCACUGGGUGAACCAGGCCAGUCACGGAGGACAAGCACGAUACAGAAAUGGAGACACAGAGAGUUUGUUGCCCUGAUCGCGUAGCUAUAGGCUGAAGACAAGGCUUUGAACUCAGGUGUUCCGAAUCCAAAUCUGGCAGUGUUUAACCUAAGGGAACGCAACUGGCAGUAUUUGUUACCGGCGAUAAAGUUCGAGCUAAGUGAAAAGCAGAAGUUUGGAAAACUUUAUCUGCCAUUCUGAACUUGACGCCUUCUCAUCAAACGUCCUGGAGGAGAACUGCGGCGAUACUGGUGACUUUGAAUUCGUGAUACUGUACAAUGAAACAUGUCAAUGUUUGGAAAACCUGCAGGAGUCUGUGAAGCAGUUGUUUCCCAAUGAACAAUCAAGAUGUUAGGAAAUCUUGCCUGGGUAAGAGAUCCCUUCAAAGUGGGAGACAGACCAGUGGAUUUUAAUGGGGCAGAGUAGAACAGUUCGGCAGCACAGUUUGGGAUUUUACGUUGCAGCUACGCUUAACCAAAACUUGUCAAGUGUGACCAUAGUACCAAAGAACACCCAUCAUUAUCCGAAAAGGCUGUUAAACUGCUUCUCCCUUUUCCAACCAUGUAUCUGUGUGAGGCCAGAUUUUCUCUAUACCUUUUAACCAGAACAAGCUAUUGCCCCAGACCGAAAGCAGAAGCUGAUCUCAGAAUCCAGCUGUCUUCCAUUAAGCUGGACAUUAAAGGGAUUUGAAGAUAUGUAAAACAAUGUCCCUCUUCUCACCAGUCAUCUUUGUUCUGUAAGGCACCGCUGUGGCAGGAAAAAUGAAACCCCCUUUUCAACACUGCCCUUUCAUAGUCGCCAAGGAGAGCCUUCGCGAGCUGGUGAUAAUUUCAACUUCAUUCUGGAAAUGUAAUCCAGUCCCAUCCAUCCUCCUAAGUGACGAGCCAUGGUCAACACCCCGUUUUUCCCAUCUACGGCUGGAGGAUAAUGAUGCCAGUUCUCAUUGUGCUUCUAGACCUUGGGACCUGAGGGACCAGCCUUUUUUUUUUUUUUCCCUGCCAGAGAUAGGGAAAGGACGGGCCAGUGUUUCGAACAAACGCUUACCCUUCUUCCAGUUGAAUAGACGCGGGGAAGGCUGUGGAAGAGGGAGAGGGGCAGCCUCGAAGGCCCGGCAACCAGGCCAGGAAGAGCAUUCAAUCCGAGACCUGACAUUUGCCUAUUGCCCUCUUAUCAGAGUCGCUAAGUCACUGGGGCCUUUGUGCCGCGGAAUUGGGAAGGAAGGAAUGGCCCGGCCCAGCCAAUCCCGUGUCCGGCCCUCUGCCCAGGCGCCUGCCAUUAGCAUUUCCCUGACAUCUGACUGAUAUCUUCACUUCACUUCGGUAAACAGGCCACCUCAAGGCCAAGGUGACAGUGACCUCUGGCGCUGCAAGCAGCACGGGAUUCUCCCCGGAGGCCCUGGUAGAGCCCUUUCGCAUGGGCCAGGGCUCUUAUGUCCCACCCCGCCACCACUCCGCUGAGUGCUGACUAAAUAAAUAAAUAAAUAAAUAACCGUCCUGGUCCUGCAGAACAGACCGCGGGUGUGCCGGGCAGAGAAAGAGAGGUGAGGAAGGGCAGCAGGGAGGGCUGGGCGAGGCAGAGGGGGAGGUCUGACCUAGAAGGUCGCCUUUGCUUCUCUGCCACUGAGAACAAUGCAGCUGCCCAGGAAACACUACCAGAGGCAGCCCGGCUAUUAAUAGGCUGGAGCACGCGGGCGGCCAAGCUGCUGCAUUUCUGAUGUUUAAAUCUCCAGUGUGAAGUUGCUUGCAGGCUCCGAUUUUGCAAAAGACAAUUAAAUAUAGAUUCUUUGGGGUGAGGGUUGGGAAGGGUGUGGGUGGAAUGUAAGCCUGUGUCGCAAUGCUAUUUAAUCCUGAGUGUUUCAGUGGGUCUACUCACAUGCUCGACAGACCUACUUGAGCACGUGAGGUGUGACAAGUGCAGGGUACAACCAGAUGAAGCCUCCCCCCGCCCUUGCCCCCAGGAAACCCAGGGGGGUGCAAUCACUACUUCCUGCAGGGGCCAGGCAAACAACAUACAUAAAUGAUGCAGACGGUGUGAAACAAUAGGGAACGGUGGGGUCUGUGUAUAAAGCAUAGCUGUGUCCUCUGUACAGGCAUUGGGGGCUGCUCAGCCCCAAUAAUUAUUACUGUGCAGGCAUAACAGCCCAGUUUUGCUAUGCCUUAUGAUUUUUAUUUAUUUUACAUGUUUAUUUAUUUGGGGGACGAGUCGCAAGCAGAGGAGGGGCGGAGGAUCCAAAGCGGGCCCUUGGGCUCUUUGCUUCUGGCAGUGAGCCCCAUGUGGGGCUUGAACUCACGAACCAGGAGAUCAUGACCUGAGCUGAAGUUGGACGCUCAACUGUCUGAGCCACCUAGGUGCCCGAUGCCUUAUGAUUUUUAAAGGAAAGACAUACAUUUGGAAUUUCGUGUGAGGUUUUUUUUUUCCUGGUUUUGAAAAAAUAUCGUGUGGGCCAAACAAACCACAUCUGCAGGCCUGUUGGGCCCAGGCAAGAUCUUAUAAUAACAUAUGAUAAAAGUUGAUAUAGAAGGAAUCCCAGAAGCUGAUGAGAGCCUAGAGGUGGGCAUUUAACCCAUCCAGGGUCGGGGGUGGAUAGGCCUUCGUAGUGAAGGAGAACUGUCUGAACAGUGAUAAUGAUGGAAUAAAUCAUGGCAAAAAGUUUGGGGGAACCAUUCCAGGCAGAGGAGUAGGAAUUUUGCUGGAUACAUUGCACCUGCCAGCUAAAGACUGGUUCUCAGCCUUUGUUGCAACCAAGGGUGGCCAUCUGACAAACGGUGUCUGUCUCAUGACCUUAAAGCGUGGGGGGUUGGGUGGUAAUCUGCCCUCUCCUCACCCUCCCUGCUUCCAUAUUGCUGACUGACCUGGCCAUCAAGAACACAGAUUGUGGAGCUGGUGAUGAAACCUCUUUGGCUUUGGUUUCUGUAAAAUUGAGAUAAUAUUAUCUACCCCAUAGGGAGAUAGGUUGAAGGAUUACUGUCUACAAAGUAUUUAGAACAGUGCCUGACAUGUACAUUUGCCACCCAGGUGUUAUUCCAUCAAUACGGUUCUGCUGACAAUAUGUUCUGGGUGGGGGGGCGGCAGAGCAAGAAGAGGGCUGGGACCCAGCUCCGGCCUUGCACCUGCACUGAUUCGCACAGACGAGUCGACUGCUCUCUCGCUUAUGCCACUGCGUUCUGCACCUCUGACGCAGCAGCCCUGCUAUCCUUCAAGUGCAAUGAGUAAUUCAGAGAUCGGCUGGGGCUCUUCCGGCCUGUGAAGAAAUUGCCUCAAAUUGCCCCUCACUGCAUAGCCUGGUAAAAUCCGGAUGGACGCUGAUACCCGGUGGCUUGUGGCUCCUGGAAGUUGUGAGCCCAGGUUUCUCUUGUGCCACCCUGUCCCACACCCCAUCGUGCCCUCGAGUUCCCACAUCAGAGACAACAAGCAGGUACCCACAGGAAGUUUGAGGGGGCUGAGCGGGCUUCACUGAAAAAGGUGGCUGAGUGCCUGGGUAGAGCAGGUAUGUGACCACCAUGCAAACUCUGAGCCCUCUGCUAGACCCCCAUAUCUCCCUCUCCCCCACCUUAGGAGCCCGGUUUUUCCAGUUGCCUGUGAAGGCCGCUCAGUGCCCCUACCGUCCUCCGCUUUCAGGGUGCCCAAGGGACGAAUGGCCCCGGCUACAUCUGCACGGAGGCCUGGCCGGGGGGGGGGGGGGGCGGGCCCCUUGACUGAGAGAGGCAGGGAUACGAAGGCAGCCCUACGGACACAGAAGUCCCAAACCUCGGGGACCAGCACAGCAGCCCAGGACAUUUCCGCCCAACCUUCCCUCCCUCUCAUUUUCACGCAGAGUUCAAUUGCGUUAUGGUCUGACUGCUCUCUCAGCCAUGGCGUUUCCCUUAAUAAAACCCUUGUACCUCCGUU
This is a long non-coding RNA of Herpailurus yagouaroundi (jaguarundi), 4730 nucleotides long. RefSeq lists it as uncharacterized. Lineage: Eukaryota; Metazoa; Chordata; Mammalia; Carnivora; Felidae. The transcript has 9 exons. The record is from RefSeq and is a predicted model, not a curated record.